GAAGGAAAAAGCUACUGGUGCUGUGGGAAGCUGAGUUUGGAAGAAACAGGGAAGGGAGACCAUUGGUUACAGCUGGUUCAUUGUCCAGGAAACCCAGAGUGAUCUCCUGGGAUCGUCUGCAGACUAGUCACCGCUGGCAUUGGUUUGUAGCGUCAUCCUUUUAUAUAAAAAAAUGGAAAUUUUAGGAUUCUGUUUUUAUAAAAAAAUGUUGAGGUGCUUGCUUCUGCCACAAUUCUUUGUAAUCACAAGGACAUUAUGUAGGCCUUCCAUUUUGUGCCAAUCUAAACAAAAUUUAAAUAUUUUAACAGUUGGCAUUUAGUUAAGAAUUUUAAACAUUCAGUGCCCUUCUGGCUUUGGCUAUGAAUGGGCCUCUUUGGAGUUUUGUCGCUUACAUGUUGCCACCUGCCGGAGAAGAGAAGGAGUGCAACUGAAUGCUUUACCUGGAAAUCAUACUUGCCCUCAAAGAAGUCGCCCCUUAUUGCCCCAGGUGAAGGCAGAGGAAUGCAUGUGGUUGGACUCCAGGAGAAGGAGGUUCUCUGACCAUUCAGUUCCUGAGAAUGUCCUGCAACCUGCCUCCAUCCCUUUACCUCAAGAGAAUGGAAGGUGUUGGAGUGGGCUACUACUAAGUUUUCCAGAAAUAAACAUGUUUUCCAAGAAGAGGAGAAGACAAAAGCAGAGAGAUAAAGAUACGUCGCGGUAUUCUCCUGACAGAGACUUCCCUUCAUCUACGACAACAUUAGCGUGGUAGGCUGAAUGACGGCCCCCACAGACAUCAGGUCUUUACCCUGCAACCUGCAGACGUCGCCUUAUCUGAGGGAAAGGUCUUUGCAGAUAUGAGGUUUUUCAGAUGGGGAGAUUAUCUUGGAUUAUCUGGUGGGCCCCAAAAGCCGUCAUAUACCUCCUCACAAGAGAGAGGGAGACAGAUUUGUUGUAGACACGGAGAAGGUGAUGUAAAGACAGAAGCAGUGACUGGAGUGAUAGCCUCACAAGCAAGGAGGGCCAGCAGCCUCCAGAAGUCGGAAGAGGCGAGAAAUGAAGUCUCCUGACAGCCUGCAGAGGGAGAAGGCCCGGCUUAUCCCUUGAUUUGGGCCCAGUGAGACUGAUCUCCUACUCCCAGCCUCCAGAACUGUGAGAAAAUAAAUUUCUGUUAUUUGAGACCA
Long non-coding RNA from Mustela lutreola (European mink), 1160 nucleotides. RefSeq lists it as uncharacterized. The transcript is spliced from 2 exons. Lineage: Eukaryota; Metazoa; Chordata; Mammalia; Carnivora; Mustelidae. The record is from RefSeq and is a predicted model, not a curated record.